RNAcentral lists this ribosomal RNA (224 nucleotides) under uncultured bacterium. Its description in RNAcentral is "partial 16S ribosomal RNA". It matches the Rfam family "Bacterial small subunit ribosomal RNA", at positions 524 to 741 of the family's 1533-position model. The record is from RNAcentral.
UACAGAGGGUGGCAAGCGUUAAUCGGAUUUACUGGGCGUAAAGCGCGCGUAGGCGGCUAAUUAAGUCAAAUGUGAAAUCCCCGAGCUUAACUUGGGAAUUGCAUUCGAUACUGGUUAGCUAGGAGUGUGGGAGAGGAUAGGUAGAAUUCCAGGUGUAGGCGGUGAAAUGCGUAGAGAUCUGGAGGAAUACCGAUGGCGAAGGCAGCCAUCUGGGCCUAACGACU